Long non-coding RNA from Fukomys damarensis (Damara mole-rat), 1596 nucleotides. The record is from Ensembl. Lineage: Eukaryota; Metazoa; Chordata; Mammalia; Rodentia; Bathyergidae.
GUGUGCACAGAGGCUCAGGAAAAUGUCGCUGAGAAAAGAACGAUGGGGUCAGGACCCGAAGGAGGUGAAGGAGCUGGCUGUGUGGAUGUGGCUUCAGGCAGAGGAAGUAGCCAUGCAAAGGCCCUAAAGCAGGACCGUGGAGAAUGUGUCUGAGAGACAGUAAGGGCCAGUGCGGCGCAGAAGAUGAGGAGGCGAGGUUGGGGAGGGAACAAGAAGAGGAGGACUCUUACUCCGCGAGCAGGGAAGUGGCGGGAUCUGGUCUGGGCUCAGUAGGGGACUUUGGACACUGUGUGUCUAAUAGAUGAUACCGCGGCAUAGGCAGGAGACACACAGGGGCGGCCCAGCGCCCAGGAGCGCGAGGGUGGGGAGAAGGCGGCGAAGGCUGGAGGGAAGAGGGCCGAGUGAUCCGCUUUGGAAGGUGCGCGCACGCGCGCGCGCACACACACACACACACACAAAUACACACACACGCUGAGCCUGGGGCCCACCCUUAGUUACCACCCCCAACAGAAACGUGGUCCCCAGGAGAUCAGACGGCGCACAAAGGUCAGAGCAGUGCCAGGCUAGGCUGAGGGAGAGGCAGUGUGAACUCGCCGUGUUGUCCCCGAAAGAGUCUCACUGAGGGCUCCAUCCCCAAGGCGCAGCCCUCAGAAUGGGGCCGGGAGAGGUGACGGGGCCAGGAGGAUGCGCUGGCCUCAUCUGUGCUCCAUGAAUUCAAGGUUCAACGGACUCUGGGAGGUGCAGCCCAGUCGGAGGAAGGAGCUCACAGCGGGGUGGGGCCCUAGGUUGUGUCCUGUCCCCAGCCUCUUCCCUUCUCCAUGGCUCUUUCCGCUCCUGCUGUUUGCUGGCUGCUUCCUCCCUCACACCCUUCCUUUGUGACGUCUCUCCUCUGAGUCAGCUGACCACGGACCAAAGGCUCCACAACCAUGGGCCUCUCCUUGAGGCCGUGUAUAUCGGGUGCUUUGUCCCAGCGCCAGAAAGCUGGCCGAUCGAUACAGUCUACUUUACUCCUGCCCCAAGAACAGGCCUGUGCCUCUGCACUUCUCCAACCUCUUAUUGACACCAACAUCAUCAGCAUGUUGCCACUGACACGGGACCAAAUCCGUCACCACACUCAUCAACGUCGCCUCCGUGAGCUCCCCAGCACCACCAUCACGACCACCGCCAAUGCGGCGUCUCCACCGGCACCACCGUCUUAGUUACUCUUCUCUCACUGCUCAGACGAAACACCCGACACCCAAAGUUAAAGGAGGAAAGGUUUAUUAGACUUAGGCACAUCCCUUUAUGCUAAAGGCAUUUAGUCCCUCUCCGAGCGUUGUCAAAGUCCUAACAGUUUCAGCAUUGCUGAAAAAUCCAAGUCCAAAAUCUCCUCUAAGGCAGACUCCUAGCUGUUAGCCCCUGUACAGAUGAAAAGAAAAUUCAACACUUUCAACUUUUAAUGGCAUGAGAUAAGACAUUUUUCUUCAAAAGUUACAAUCAGGAGGAUAGAAACGGAUGGGAACAAAGCAAGACCCAAAGCUAGCAGGGCAAACGUUAAAUCUUAAAGUUUAGCGUCUCUGACAGUCUGUGGCAAGACAUAAACUGUAAAGAGCUUGG